Molecule: ribosomal RNA, 700 nt
Filed under: uncultured Methanosaeta sp.
Lineage: Archaea; Methanobacteriati; Methanobacteriota; Methanomicrobia; Methanotrichales; Methanotrichaceae
Description: bacterial SSU rRNA
Rfam family: Archaeal small subunit ribosomal RNA
Source: RNAcentral
CUGCUAUCGAGGUUCGACUAAGCCAUGCGAGUCGAAUGUAGCAAUACAUGGCGAACUGCUCAGUAACACGUGGACAACCUGCCCUUAGGUUGGGUAUAAACCCGGGAAACUGGGUAUAAUACCCGAUAGGUCUCGAUUGCUGGAAUGCAUCGAGAUUUAAAGCUCCGGCGCCUAAGGAUGGGUCUGCGGCCUAUCAGGUAGUAGUGGGUGUAGCGUACCUACUAGCCUACGACGGGUACGGGUUGUGAGAGCAAGAGCCCGGAGAUGGAUUCUGAGACACGAAUCCAGGCCCUACGGGGUGCAGCAGGCGCGAAAACUUUACAAUGCUGGCAACAGCGAUAAGGGAACCUCGAGUGCCAGGUUACAAAUCUGGCUGUCGAGAUGCCUAAAAAGCAUUUCAUAGCAAGGGCCGGGCAAGACCGGUGCCAGCCGCCGCGGUAACACCGGCGGCUCGAGUGGUAACCGUUAUUAUUGGGUCUAAAGGGUCUGUAGCCGGCCGGAUAAGUCUCUUGAGAAAUCUGGCAGCUUAACUGUCAGGCUUUCAGGAGAUACUGUCUGGCUCGAGGCCGGGAGAGGUGAGAGGUACUUCAGGGGUAGGGGUGAAAUCUUGUAAUCCUUGAAGGACCACCAGUGGCGAAGGCGUCUCACCAGAACGGACCUGACGGCAAGGGACGAAAGCUAGGGGCACGAACCGGAUUAG